Molecule: ribosomal RNA, 375 nt
Filed under: Triticum aestivum (bread wheat)
Lineage: Eukaryota; Viridiplantae; Streptophyta; Magnoliopsida; Poales; Poaceae
Description: partial small subunit ribosomal RNA
Source: RNAcentral
GUGAUAGAUGAACUUCUAGAUGAAUUACAUGGAGCACAAUGGUUUACAAAGUUGGAUCUUAGGGCAAGAUACCACCAAAUAAGGUUAGCCCCUGGAGAAGAAUAUAAGACAGCCUUUCAAACUCAUCAUGGUCAUUUUGAGUUCCUGGUUGUGGGUUUUGGUCUGACAGGAGCUCCAAACACCUUUCAAGGAGCUAUUAAUGUAUACUUGUCUGAAGAACCUGACAUGCUUAGGAAUUUUGUCAUUGCAUUCUUUGAUGACAUACUAAUUUUCAGUAAAACAUUGAAACAGCACCUUGAACAUGUCAAAAGGGUUUUGGCAGUUUUGAGAAGAGACAAACGGUAUGUAAAACUCUCCAAGUGUGAAUUUGCUUCU